GUGUACAUCGAGUGAGCGAGUCAACGAAGAUGGCUGGGGAGCUGCUGGGUUUACAGCCUACAGAUGGCGACAGCAUUUUCACCUACACUCGCAUACGAGAGAAAAAUCCAGAACAGAGAUUUUAUAAACAGAGAGAUUGUAAUUGGGAGGAAUUGGAAAAGAAAAGAAGGGCCAACAAAUUCAAAAACAGAGAGAUCAACACAAAUAAAACUUAACACUGCUUGUCAAACAACAUUUAAGUACUAGAAUUGUCAGGGCACAAUUGGGUUCCUCGCUUAUCACUGUUUCUCAUACAUUUUUUAAAUCAGCUUUUAGGGUACAAACACAAAGGGGAGACUACUCCUUGGAGGAUUUGUUGAUGAGGGAUUUGUGAAUGUGCGGGAUAACCCCACCACCAGCAAUGGUUCCUUUGAUGAGCGUGUCAAGUUCUUCGUCCCCCCGUAUAGCAAGCUGCAAAUGCCUUGGUGUUAUACGUUUCACCUUGAGAUCCUUGCUUGCAUUCCCCGCCAACUCCAACACUUCAGCGGUAAGAUACUCCAGUAUAGCUGCUGUAUAAACAGCAGCUGUUGCCCCAACCCUUCCAUUUGCAGAAACCCUAGUUUUCAAAAGACGAUGAACCCGCCCCACAGGGAACUGCAGGAAAGGUAUGGGAAAACGCUUAUAUAAAAAGAUCAUAUAUAACUUUUUUUUUAAAAAUGUAAAUCGAGUUCCUAUUUGUUUAAGCAAACAUAUUACUUCAGAUAUCAUCAAACAGAAAGUCAUAUCCCAUGCAUUCAGGUUCAGCAAGUUCAUAUGCAAUACAUUUCACAAAGAAACUUCUGACUUCAAUAAAAAAAAUAUCAACUCAUCCCACUUGUACUUCAGCAUUGGCAUUGUUUAAUUACCAAGACACCCUCCAGCAGUAUUCUUAAUUAGUGCAAAAGUGCCGCAGACAAUACCAAAUCUCUUAUUUUAUUUUGAAAAAUUUACAAUUUAGUCUUUAAAUUUUGCCCUAUAUUACACUUUAGUCCUUGAAUUUUAAAAAAUUAAUUAUUUAGCACUUAAAUUUCACACUAUAUUACACUUUAAUCCCUGAAUUUUGAUAAAUGAAUUAUCAAGUCCUUGAAUUUUAGACUAUAUCAUAAUUUAGUCCUUGUAAUUUUAAUAUAUAGAACAAUGUAAUCCUUCUGUCAGUGGAUGAGAUUACUGUAAACAUUAAAAUUACAAGAAUUAAAUUGUUCUACGUAUUAAAAUUAAAGGACUAAAUAGUUCAUUUCUCAAAAUUCAAAGACUAAAGUAUAAUAUAAUGCAAAAUCUAGAGACUCAGUAAUUAAUUUCUCAAAAUUUAAGGACUAAAGUGUAAUAUAUGACAAAGUCCAAGGACCAAAUUGUAAACUUCCCUUUUACUUUUGCACAAGUGUUACAGGGCUAUUUUAGUUGAUGUGCAGUAACGAAUAGGGGAGUACACAGUGUGUGAAUUGGAAGUCCUCGCUUUGCCCAUCCUACUUCAUUGAUUGUAAGCUUAAAAGCUCCAUACCUGCAUUUCUGCUCCCUCAAUUCUUUAACCAAGGACCUGUUCAGUUCAUACCCUUUGAAAUGAUCAUUUCUCACAGAUUACUCAAAAGUUUCUCACUUCCAUUAAGUUGUCUAAGCAACAGAGCAGAAAUCAAAUUUGGAGGUUAAGCAUGACAAUGGAGGAAGAGAGAUGCAAACCAUUGGCUCAUUCUUGUAAAGCAUAUCCUGGGAAUAUUUCAUUUGUCAUACACGCAUAAACAUAUAGUUCUACAAUAACCAACUUCGGUGCAGUAACUAUACGACACUUUGUGACAGAAACACACAACUCCAUGCAUGAUAUUCCAUCUUGAUGUUGAACAAAGCAAUCUUGCCUUUAACAGCUAGAGCAAGCAUGUUCUUUUCUUGUCACUCAAUCUUUUCCUUCAAUGCUAAUGCCCUAAAAGUUCCUCCCAUUUGUGUAGCUCGUUCAUUAACUACACAAAUUCCCAAUUCAAAGUUUUGUUAUGAAUGCUUAAAGGCUUAAAGCCCUAAACCAAAUUUAAAGAUGAUAAUCCACCUGUGUAGCUAUGGUCUUAUUAUCAGAGCCUGGAAGCUUUUUAUUAAUCAUCCAAAAGAUCAUGGGAAUGAGGCUUGGCAGAGAGCAAAAAUUACACACUCAAAAGUAACCCUUUUUAUCCAAAUCUACAUGCUGCAAAUUAUAUCCAACUGACAUUUUUCACUUUGCUAUUCAGUAUCCUUCUGCAGAUAGAUACUUAAGAAAGAAGUGCCCCUUCCUUGCACACGUUCCAUGGUAAGAAAUGGAGAAAGAAAAAGGUAACAAGUUAAGGCCUUUUUCACACCUUUCAUUUUCUAAGUCCUCAAGCCAUUAAAUUGUUACCAAAAUCUUUCCGGAUAGCAGAUGUUACCUUCCAGAUUUCUGAAGCGGACACUAUUAAGUUAUUUUCUAUACAGGAUCUCAAAAAAUCAACAAUUCUCCUCAGUCCUUAACAACAACUGAAGGCCAAGAGUUCCUAUAAAGCCCAGGUUGAAGAAUGCCUAGUCAAGGAUUACUGGAUUACCAGAGAAGAUCCACAAUGCCUAAUUCAUUUUAAGUAAUCCUAAUUCUUUUAUUUUGUAAUGACCAAAUAAAAAUGAGAAAUGCAUAUCUCUAGGUUAUGCACCUUAACAUAAUCCCCAUAAUACUGGUAAAAUAACCUUUUGGCAGAAAACUACUUGCCAAAGACAACUUGCGGCACGGAUCAUAAAACAGGAAAGGAUGACAUCAACAUGUAAGGCUAACAUAAAACUUGAAAAAACAAAAAAAGUCAACUCACUUUUUCUGGAAGGCAACAUUGACUUUGAGGAGAAAUGGAAAUUAAGUUUGGAAGGUAUUUAUAUCAAGUAUGAGCAACAAGGGUAUCGUUGAAAAUAGUAAUCCUUCAGAAUUUCUAAAAAUGAAUGAAAGCAUGUUCUUCCAAUUGUUGAAGAGAUUCUGACAACCACUGAGGAGAAAUGCAUGCACAGGAUUGACCAUGAUCCAAAAUGGGGAUGGAGAAAGACUCUGAUCUCAACUUAAAUUUCCAAGACCCAGUAACGUGAUCUGCAUCUGCAUGCGUAAGACGAUUUUCUCCCAAAUAACAUUCUCAUGUCAAGAAAAUUUGUAAAGCUUCCCCGUCCUAUGAUUCAAAAGAGAGUAACACAACGGUGGAGCUUUUGGUACGGAAGAAAUACAGUGAUUCAAAAACUACAUCUACCCUCCACCCCUGCAGAGAAAAAAAAAAUCCUAUUUUCCCACCCUUCAAGCUAAUGUUACAAUUUUCCACUACGUUCACCAACAUAAGAUCUCACCCAACAUACACAGCAUAAUACCGACUACAAAACAAAAAUAAAUUUUACUAAAGCACAUCCUAUUCCUGAUAUAUAUUUUUCCAAUAUUUCUAUCCACUCUCCACUUCCUUCUCUGCAACUCACUAAAGAUAUAAGAGCAUAGAA
This 3465-nucleotide unclassified non-coding RNA is filed under the name Hevea brasiliensis (rubber tree). Lineage: Eukaryota; Viridiplantae; Streptophyta; Magnoliopsida; Malpighiales; Euphorbiaceae. The record is from RNAcentral.